CCUACGGGCGGCUGCAGUGGGGAAUAUUGCACAAUGGGCGCAAGCCUGAUGCAGCCAUGCCGCGUGUGUGAAGAAGGCCUUCGGGUUGUAAAGCACUUUCAGCGGGGAGGAAGGCGUUAAGGUUAAUAACCUUGUCGAUUGACGUUACCCGCAGAAGAAGCACCGGCUAACUCCGUGCCAGCAGCCGCGGUAAUACGGAGGGUGCAAGCGUUAAUCGGAAUUACUGGGCGUAAAGCGCACGCAGGCGGUCUGUCAAGUCGGAUGUGAAAUCCCCGGGCUUAACCUGGGAACUGCAUUCGAAACUGGCAGGCUAGAGUCUUGUAGAGGGGGGUAGAAUUCCAGGUGUAGCGGUGAAAUGCGUAGAGAUCUGGAGGAAUACCGGUGGCGAAGGCGGCCCCCUGGACAAAGACUGACGCUCAGGUGCGAAAGCGUGGGGAGCAAACAGGAUUAGAUACCCUUGUAGUC
This 465-nucleotide ribosomal RNA is filed under the name uncultured Klebsiella sp. RNAcentral describes it as "bacterial SSU rRNA". It matches the Rfam family "Bacterial small subunit ribosomal RNA", at positions 338 to 795 of the family's 1533-position model. Lineage: Bacteria; Pseudomonadati; Pseudomonadota; Gammaproteobacteria; Enterobacterales; Enterobacteriaceae. The record is from RNAcentral.